GCCCCGCCCAACCUUCCCCACCCCCAAGCACCACCCAACUCCACCGCACCCCCCACUCCGUCUCUUAGAGCUUCUGCGUUCUUUCGCCCGCCGCCUUUUCUUAAAUUUGUUUGGUGAGAGUCUCUCUUUGUGUUCCCAUUUCUCCGUCUUCUGUCCUCCACUUUCCACUCUCCCCUGCUUAGUCCCUUCCACUCACCUUCCAAAUAUCCAGUGCCCGCCCUUCGCUGCCCCUCACUUCUUGGCUAGCGCUCAGACACGUGUUUUCUCCACUCUCUCUUCUUCGUCACUUUCCUACAAUCUACUCAUGCCUCCUAUUCCCAAGACCAACUACGGCUAAAACCCGCAGCCCCUACCAGGACGAAAAUAAACGUCUGGGAAACACUGUUUCUUUGCUGCUAGCAUUGGAAAAAAAUUUAGAGCUGGAAGGAACCUCAGAGUUCAUCUAGCCCCGUCAUUUUAUUGGAGAUCCAAGAAAUUGGAGCCAGACAUCAAAUGGCAAGACAACUAAGUGGCACAGUGGAUAUAGCAUUGACUCUGGUGUCAGGAAGACCUAAGAUCAAAUCUAGCCUUAGACACUUUCUUCAUGUUCCUGGAUUUGGAGAGGAAGAAUUCUGCAAACAAGUUGAGAAGAGAAGGAAUAAUCUGAAGUUGUGGUAAGUAUAUUGCAUGCAACAGUAAUGUAACAGUAACACAACACUAACACAACAGUAACACUGACAUAACACUGACAAACAACAUAACAUAGCAUGGAUAACAACAUAACAAACAUAUAUACUGUUAAAUUUAUUUGUGGCUGGACUCUGAAUAUAUAAUAGGUGGCCACCAGGGAUUUAAAUUUCUAAAUCCCAAAUGAAUUACUAAAAUGAAUUUAUGAUAGUUUAUUUUUAAUAGAGGGAAAAUAUUAAGGAAUGAGAGAGAGAGAGAAAACUCAGGCUUCCUCUGAGCCAGUUAGAAAUUUCUAAGCCCCAGCCAAGGGAAGAGAGUCUCAAGAUGAUGAGCCUUUCCUGGAGACUUCAUGCCUCCAGAAAGGUGGAGUCACUAAGUCAGCCUUUCACUCACCAACAAUGACCAUCUAAAUGAAAAGAAGUCUGAGUGUCUGUCUUCUGGUCACUCCUCAAGUGUCUGUGUCCAGUCUCUCCUCUGAGUCAGAGAUCCUUCAUCCAACUUGAAACUCAAAUUGAAUAUAUGUCCUCUUCUGGCCUUUCAUCCUCUUUUUAAAGAAUCUUUUUCUCUUGUGUCACCUCCCCUAAAUUUCACAUCUACCAAUCACAGCAGAUGCUUUUCUCCAGGACUGCCUACUCUUUAGUUCUCACCUUCUUUGGGUAGAUUAUAUCUUUUGGGGUUAUUUAACACCUUUUUUUUUUUGGUAAAUUCACCUUUUGUAGUUACUUAACACCUUUUUGUGGUUAAAAUGGGUAGAUGUACUUAAAAUACUGAGCUAUCACCUUUUUGCGGAUUAAAAUCUAAAAAUAGAUUGUGGGUUAUAAUUCUAGCUUCACUAUAAAGGAAGAGCUAAGUAUCUUCAUUAUUACAAUCAGGAGAUCGCUAAAUCCAAUCUUCACAAUACACAAAAACUUAAACAUGGUUAGGUUACAUUGAAUCACUAGUUGAAUGAGUGAAACAAUGUAUAGUUUAUACAUAGUUUAUAGAUAUCAACAAUGUUAUAUUUAGUUAUAAAGUAGUUACUAACAAAGAAUAGUUAGUUACUUAGUAUAAGAUUUAGUAUAGGAAUGUAGGUAGGUGAGAGUAGUUUUAGGAGAUUUUAGGAAAUAAGGCUAUAAAUUAGUUAGAUUAGAGUUUAAGAUUGAUAAAAUAAGGUAAGAUAAUGAACUGCACUACAAAAUACAUUGCAACAUACAUAACAAACAGCAUACAUGGCAUAUAACACAAAAUUGUAAAUAUAUAUAUAAAUAGUAUGUAUAAUAGUUAGGAUUGUAAACUUAAUUGUAUUAUACUGUAUGUAUGUGUAUAUUUGUAACAUGUGUAAAUAUGAAGUAUAUACAUGUAGUAUGUGUAUAUAUGUAAAAUUAUGUAAAUAGAUCACAUGUUUAAUUUUAUCUAUUGUUAUAUGUAUUUUAUGUAAGUGAGUUUGAUGGUUUAGUUUAAUUUUUUGGGAAACUUAUGCAAUGGUGUGUUUAUUGUAUUUUUCAAAAAUUUGUCUCUAAGUUUGCUGUUCAUGCAUUGCAAUAGUAGAAUUUUCUGUAUUAGUUGAUAAGAGUAGCAUUUUAUGAUUUUAAUGUUUUUCAUGAAAGUUGUGUUUAUCUUUGAUUUUGCUCUUAUUUGCUUGUUGUGCUUUUGCAUAUGUUUGAUCUGUAUUUUGAGCUUUGUAAUUGUUCAUUGUAUAAUUUCCCCUUUUUCCUUUCCUUGAUUAAAUCCCUAGAAUAGGAUAGUAUUGGAUAGGAUAAGAUAAUUGAGUGUAGGCUGUUUAUUAUUUUGGGUAGAAAUUUUAGUUUAAGUAAUAUGUAAGUUAGUGCACAAAUGCCAAAAUAGUGUUUUCAACACAAUUUCGCCUUUGUGCAAAGUGGGUACUGUAGCAAGGAAAGUUUGCAGAGCUGAUUGACAGUCCUCAAACCAAGAUUCUACAGAACUGGCUGGGUCAGGAUUCUAAGACAGUUAGGGGGAACUAACAACAGGCUCCCUCUCAAGCUGGGAUUUAGACAGAGAGGCUUGUGUGUCAAAGAGUCUCCCUGAAGAAAUCAUCUUUGAAGCUGCCUGACUUGGAUUAUCUUCAAGAAAAGUUGAGUGUGUGUUCCUCUUUCACACUGGUGGACAGUUGUGAGCAGGGUGUGAACUUCUUCCCUUCCUGGAUCUUUUAUGAUCUCUCUCUUGCUUACUUCUGUGGAAUCUUGCUGUCUCUUCUCAUGGCAUUUGAUGGAGUAUUAGUCUCCGAUCUUGGGACUUUAAAAAACAUGGAAAAAAAACAUGGGAGAACAAACCACAGGAAGCUAGAAGUUGGUGCUGGAGCCACGUCUCCCAUUGAGUGCAGCAUUAAUACCCUGAGGAGCAAGUAGCAAUCUCUAGGAGUGAUAGUCAGGACCCUCUAUCAGCAAAAAGAUUCAUCUGGCAGUCCUGCCACACCUGGACAUAAAUGGAAGAACUGAGCUAAAAUUCAAGCCUUUCCCCCUAGAGAUGAGGGCAGUAUGGGGUAAAUAUGCCCCAGAAGGGUUGUGGGAAAUGUUUGUUCUUACUAUAACUUUGAAGUAAAUAUUCUUAUGUAAAAA
This is a non-coding RNA of Monodelphis domestica (gray short-tailed opossum), 3221 nucleotides long. Lineage: Eukaryota; Metazoa; Chordata; Mammalia; Didelphimorphia; Didelphidae. The record is from RefSeq and is a predicted model, not a curated record.